UACGUAGGGUGCGAGCGUUGUCCGGAUUUAUUGGGCGUAAAGAGCUUGUAGGCGGUUCGAUAAGUCGGAUGUGAAACCCCCAGGCUUAACCUGGGGCCGCCAUUCGAUACUGUCGUGACUAGAGUGCGGUAGGGGACCAUGGAAUUCCUGGUGUAGCGGUGAAAUGCGCAGAUAUCAGGAGGAACACCAGCAGCGAAGGCGGUGGUCUGGGCCGUUACUGACGCUAAAGAGCGAAAGCGUGGGGAGCGAACAGG
RNAcentral lists this ribosomal RNA (254 nucleotides) under uncultured organism. RNAcentral describes it as "partial 16S ribosomal RNA". It matches the Rfam family "Bacterial small subunit ribosomal RNA", at positions 524 to 776 of the family's 1533-position model. The record is from RNAcentral.